Molecule: ribosomal RNA, 259 nt
Filed under: uncultured bacterium
Lineage: Bacteria
Description: partial 16S ribosomal RNA
Rfam family: Bacterial small subunit ribosomal RNA
Source: RNAcentral
UUGGCGGACGGGUGAGUAACGCGUGGGUAACCUGCCUUACACAGGGGGAUAACACUUAGAAAUAGGUGCUAAAACCGCAUAAGCGCACAGCUUCGCAUGAAGCGGUGUGAAAAACUCCGGUGGUGUAAGAUGGACCCGCGUCUGAUUAGCUUGUUGGCGGGGUAACGGCCCACCAAGGCGACGAUCAGUAGCCGGCCUGAGAGGGCGGACGGCCACAUUGGGACUGAGACACGGCCCAGACUCCUACGGGAGGCAGCAG